Molecule: non-coding RNA, 111 nt
Organism: Pseudonaja textilis
Lineage: Eukaryota; Metazoa; Chordata; Lepidosauria; Squamata; Elapidae
Source: RefSeq, a predicted model, not a curated record
GCUGGAUCCCCUUUUACAAGCGACGGGUGGAAAACUCACCCGGGAGAGAAGCAACGUGGAACUCAGGAGGAAUUUCCUAACAGGGAGGACAAUGACCCGGUGGGACUCCUU